Molecule: ribosomal RNA, 497 nt
Filed under: uncultured bacterium
Lineage: Bacteria
Description: partial 16S ribosomal RNA
Rfam family: Bacterial small subunit ribosomal RNA
Source: RNAcentral
GAUGAACGCUGGCGGCGUGCCUAAUACAUGCAAGUCGAGCGAACGGACGAGAAGCUUGCUUCUCUGAUGUUAGCGGCGGACGGGUGAGUAACACGUGGAUAACCUACCGAUAAGACUGGGAUAACUUCGGGAAACCGGAGAUAAUACCGGAUAAUAAUUUGAACCGCAUGGUUCAAAAGUGAAAGACGGUCUUGCUGUCACUUAUAGAUGGAUCCGCGCUGCAUUAGCUAGUUGGUAAGUUAACGGCUUACCACGGCAACGAUGCAUAGCCGACCGGAGAGGGUGACCGGCAACCCUGGAACUGAAACACGGUCCAGACUCCUACGGAAGGAAGCAGUAGGGGAUCUUGCGCAAUGGGGGAAAGCCUGACGGAGCAACGCCGCGGAGUUGAUGAAGGUCUCCGGAUCGUAAAACCCUGUUAUUAGGGAAGAACAUAUUUGUAAGUAACUGUGCACAUCUUGACGGUACCUAAUCAGAAAGCCACGGCUAACUACGUG